CUAUCAUCGCCGCCUUCAGGUGCCCGUGACCGCCAGGUUUCGGGAGAAUCGGGAAGGCGGUGCAAGUCCGCCACGUGCCCAACGCUGUAAGGAUGAUGAACCAUGUGUAUGCCACUGGCGCAAGCUGGGAAGGCGCAGGAUUCAAGCGACUCCAAGUCAGAAGACCGGCCUGAAACAUCACACGCUG
This 187-nucleotide non-coding RNA is filed under the name Rhodoferax antarcticus. The record is from RNAcentral. Lineage: Bacteria; Pseudomonadati; Pseudomonadota; Betaproteobacteria; Burkholderiales; Comamonadaceae. RNAcentral also lists the same sequence under 1 other name.